AACGAACGCUGGCGGCAUGCCUAAUACAUGCAAGUCGAACGAUCUCUUCGGAGGUAGUGGCGCACGGGUGCGUAACGCGUGGGAAUCUGCCCUUGGGUUCGGAAUAACGUCGGGAAACUGACGCUAAUACCGGAUGAUGACGUAAGUCCAAAGAUUUAUCGCCCAGGGAUGAGCCCGCGUAGGAUUAGCUAGUUGGUGGGGUAAAGGCCUACCAAGGCGACGAUCCUUAGCUGGUCUGAGAGGAUGAUCAGCCACACUUGGACUGAGACACGGCCCAGACUCCUACGGGAGGCAGCAGGAGGGAAUAUUGGAUAAUGGGGGCAACCCUGAUCCAGCAAUGCCGCGUGAGUGAUGAAGGCCUUAGGGUUGUAAAGCUCUUUUACCCGGGAUGAUAAUGACAGUACCGGGAGAAUAAGCCCCGGCUAACUCCGUGCCAGCCGCCGCCGUAA
Molecule: ribosomal RNA, 449 nt
Filed under: uncultured bacterium
Lineage: Bacteria
Description: partial 16S ribosomal RNA
Rfam family: Bacterial small subunit ribosomal RNA
Source: RNAcentral